UAAACUGGACACUGUCUUAGGUGAUGCAGUGUUAUUUUAGAGGGCCAACACUGAUGAGCACCCAGACGACAACACUCUGCCAUGUGUACCUCAAACUUAAUAAAGAAGAAAAUCUGUCAGAGGAAGACUUUACAGGCAAAUGAUGCACAGGGCUACCCUGCAAAGUCCAGACA
Long non-coding RNA from Manacus vitellinus (golden-collared manakin), 173 nucleotides. RefSeq lists it as uncharacterized. The record is from RefSeq and is a predicted model, not a curated record. The transcript is spliced from 3 exons. NCBI's taxonomy places the organism in Eukaryota, Metazoa, Chordata, Aves, Passeriformes, Pipridae.